Molecule: non-coding RNA, 557 nt
Organism: Arachis ipaensis
Lineage: Eukaryota; Viridiplantae; Streptophyta; Magnoliopsida; Fabales; Fabaceae
Source: RefSeq, a predicted model, not a curated record
GGUUUUCGGUUUUCGUCGUUGUCGCUCUCUGUCUUAUUACCACCCUCCGUUUGCUCAUAGUCGCUGGCGACAGAAGCAGUAGGUUCUAGGGCUGGUCGUCUUUGUUGUCUCCUUGCUCCGAGUCUCACCAUCAGCUUCCUUCACGCAACCAAAAGUUGGUCCCGAUUUGGAUUAUUAGUAUCAAUGAAAAACCAUCAAUUGUAUACUAACAAGGAUGAAGUUAAAAGAGUAUAAGAGGGUCGCAUUAUUAUUUCGGAUGCAAUAUUGGGCACUACUGGAAGAAAAGUUAAAGUUUUAGAAGUAUCAAAUAAUCACAGAGAAGAAGUUCAGAGACAGAUACGGUGUUUUGAUAAUUCUUUGAGACUCUCAUCCCAACAUUUUUUACAAGGGCUUGUUUAUUUUCGCGAGGGGGAGACAUGGGUUUUUAUUUACCAGCAUUAUGAUAAGGACUUAGCUGAUGUCUGGGUCGAGGAUUGGGACAAAUUCAAGCUUUAUCUAAAGCAAUUUUUACAAGCUCUCGCAAUAUUAUACGAAGGGAAGAAUAUGUAUCAUGGAAA